CUACGGGUUGCUCCAGUGGGGAAUAUUGCACAAUGGAGGAAACUCUGAUGCAGCAACGCCGCGUGGAGGAUGACACUUUUCGGAGCGUAAACUCCUUUUAUAUAGGAAGAAGAUGACGGUACUAUAUGAAUAAGCGCCGGCUAACUCCGUGCCAGCAGCCGCGGUAAUACGGAGGGCGCAAGCGUUACUCGGAAUCACUGGGCGUAAAGAGCGUGUAGGCGGAUUAAAAAGUCAGAAGUGAAAUCCUAUAGCUUAACUAUAGAACUGCUUCUGAAACUCUUAAUCUAGAAUGUGGGAGAGGUAGAUGGAAUUUCUGGUGUAGGGGUAAAAUCCGUAGAGACCAGAAGGAAUACCGAUUGCGAAGGCGAUCUACUAGAACAUUAUUGACGCUGAGACGCGAAAGCGUGGGGAGCAAACAGGAUUAGAUACCCGCGUAGUC
Molecule: ribosomal RNA, 439 nt
Filed under: uncultured bacterium
Lineage: Bacteria
Description: partial 16S ribosomal RNA
Rfam family: Bacterial small subunit ribosomal RNA
Source: RNAcentral